GGGAUAAGAAUCUGUCAAUGGGCAUGAUCAUUUACAAGUUCUAGAAUUGAAAUUAUUCUUGAACAGAAUUAAGUGCAAGAUGAAAUAGAUGUUCAAUGGAAACUCAAUUGGGUAUUUGAGCAAGAUCAAAUGCAAGAUGAAGCAACAAAAAAAAAGAAGUGCAGCAGAAAGUUUCUAUUUUCCCGUGUUUUUGGCUCUUCAAAAUUGCACAGAUACUACUUGGAUAUAUGUUGAUAGUUGUAGUGGAUAUUUGUUUUUUUAGUAUUGUUUUUCAGCUUUCUUCCUUGAGGGCAAGGAAGC
This 300-nucleotide unclassified non-coding RNA is filed under the name Hevea brasiliensis (rubber tree). The record is from RNAcentral. Lineage: Eukaryota; Viridiplantae; Streptophyta; Magnoliopsida; Malpighiales; Euphorbiaceae.